AUUGAACGCUGGCGGCAUGCCUUACACAUGCAAGUCGAACGGCAGCACGGGAGCAAUCCUGGUGGCGAGUGGCGAACGGGUGAGUAAUAUAUCGGAACGUGCCCAGUCGUGGGGGAUAACGCAGCGAAAGCUGUGCUAAUACCGCAUACGAUCUACGGAUGAAAGCGGGGGAUCGCAAGACCUCGCGCGAUUGGAGCGGCCGAUAUCAGAUUAGCUAGUUGGUGGGGUAAAAGCCCACCAAGGCGACGAUCUGUAGCUGGUCUGAGAGGACGACCAGCCACACUGGAACUGAGACACGGUCCAGACUCCUACGGGAGGCAGCAGUGGGGAAUUUUGGACAAUGGGCGCAAGCCUGAUCCAGCAAUGCCGCGUGCAGGAUGAAGGCCUUCGGGUUGUAAACUGCUUUUGUACGGAACGAAACGGCGAGCUCUAAUAAAGUUUGCUAAUGACGGUACCGUAAGAAUAAGCACCGGCUAACUACGUG
This 484-nucleotide ribosomal RNA is filed under the name uncultured bacterium. Its description in RNAcentral is "bacterial SSU rRNA". It matches the Rfam family "Bacterial small subunit ribosomal RNA", at positions 30 to 507 of the family's 1533-position model. The record is from RNAcentral.